Molecule: long non-coding RNA, 448 nt
Organism: Suricata suricatta (meerkat)
Lineage: Eukaryota; Metazoa; Chordata; Mammalia; Carnivora; Herpestidae
Exons: 3
Source: RefSeq, a predicted model, not a curated record
GGCCACUGGAAACCACAGCACGGUCUACUGAGAAAAUUUCACUGUGCUGAACACUCUCAAGGAGAAAUGAUUUAAAGGAAGCCUAUCCAUCACCAAAAGGUACUGAAAGGAUGAAUGUGGAUCUGCGUGGCAAUACACCAAUAUUUGGCUAAAGUUCCAACCGUGUGGCUGCAGCUGAGGUAGGCUGGUGGUCCCUGCCCAGGGUUGGGCAAGUGAGGAAGCGGAAGAGGAGAAGGUGGCCUCUGAACUUGGCGUGGGCGCUGCCAGAUGAUGCUGGGAACCAGGCCAAGGUACAAACUGAAAGGGAAACGGAAGCCGAAAAUGAAGGAAGAGUGAAUUUUAAAAACUGAAAUAUGAUAAAGGAACAUAAAUAUGACACCGUAGAUAACAACCACUGCCUUCUGGAAGAUGGAGAAAGAUUUUCAGAAGAAACGAACGUAAAAAGAUG